CUGUUACCACGUGUAUCACGUCCUUAUGCGCAUCACGUGACCAGCUGUUCACGGGCGUCUGUUACUUCGAGGGACGCUGACAUGAAUGGAUCGUGGCGUGAUUGACCGGAUGGAAAUUUUCUCUUGAACGAAAAUAUCGAUUGUACAAAAUGGCGAAUCCGAAUCUCACGGAUAUGACGGAGGAAGAUGCGGCGGACUUACAAUUCCCGAAAGACUGCAACCCAGCGAGCAAAACGGCUAAGCUCGUGAGCGACCUAGAACUUGAGGUAUCAGUUCUGAAGGACGAAAUCCUUAUCUCAGAUCCGACAUGUCGCAUGUGUAGGUCGAUCCUCGUGGAGCCGUAUGUGCGUUGCGCCGUGUGCGUGAACGUCGAGAUAUGUCUGCCCUGUUUCGCCAAUGGCCGGGAGAUCGACGCGCACAGGAACGAUCACGACUACUUGAUCAUAAAGAACGAGUUCCCGCUGAUCAACGGCAGCGGAUGGAACGCCAAGCAGGAGCUGAAGCUGUUGGACGUGGUGCAACAAUGCGGUUUCGGCAACUGGACAGAUAUGGGUCGCAUGAUGCACGGUAAAUCUGCGGAGGAGUGCAAGCAACAUUAUCUGCAGCACUAUGUGGACAGUCAGACGUUAUCGGGUCUACCUAGAAUAAAGGAGAGCCGAGCUAGCUUAUUCGGCAGCGAUCCGACUCCUUAUUUGUACAAGCUGCAAGACCUCGAGGAGCCGCCUAGGUUCGCGCCAAACGCGGUCAACGCUAAAUUAUUAGCGGGUUACAACGCGGCGCGCUCCGAUUUCGAUGUGAAUUUCGACAAUCACGCGGAGUCGUUGGUAGCCGACCUCAAUUUCGACGAGUUUCAACCCGGCGAUUAUGAUUACAAAUUAGGACAGGCUCUUCAAGUGGCUAUGGUACAGGCUUACAACAACAGGCUGAGGGAGCGAAUGCGUAGGCUAGGGAUAAUACGUAAACACGGGCUAAUCGCCUUUCGCAAAACCAUGUUUUGGAUACAGCGAUACGAAAACACGAUCACCAGGCCGCUGGCGGAGCGGCUGCUGACCUUCAUGCAACUAGUGGACGGAAUGGACUUUGACUACAUUAUGGAAGGCUUGCAUCGCGUCGGCGAGUUGAAAAAUCAGAUCAACACGCUGUUGGAGUUCCGCAGAAACGGACUGAAGUAUUUCCACAGCGUGGGCAUGUUCCAGAAACUGAGUAAGCUGCGGCAGGAGAAUGAGAGAGAGAAAAAGCAGUACCUGAGCAAUCCAGAGUACAGUUGGAAGCACGUGGUGCAGGGUUACGGCACGAACAGCACCAGUCCGACCUCAAGUGUGAUUUCGCAGCGUAAAAUUGCGCCACCUCUUCCGAUAAAGGGCCUGCCCAGCUACGAGAAGCUGACUACCAGUGAGAGAGAGCUCUGUUCCGCCAUAAGGAUAGUGCCGUCCUGUUACUUGGACUUUAAACACCUCUUGAUCGCCGAGAACAAGAAGAAUGGUUCCCUCAAAUUGGCGCAAGCCCGUGUAUUGCUGAAAAUCGACGUUAACAAAACGCGGAAGAUAUAUGAUUACUUGACGGAAGAGGGAUACAUUAAUAAACCAGCUUCGUGAUGAUAUUUUAGCAGCGAAAUAGUACUUUUAUGUAUAUAUGACCUGACGUUAUUGUGAUAUUAUUUCUAUUGGACGUGUGUACACAUGCUUCCGUACCUGCAUAUGGAAAGAGAGCUUGACAGUUGCUUGAAUAAAGUUUUCUUUUAAUUUUUUAAAUUUUGACCAAUUCGUCAAGAAGACGAUACAUCUUAUCGUAUUACAUAAGAAUUCGAAAAUGCGGAGACCCUGUUGAUAUCGGAAGUUUACAUGCUAUUGGAACACAGGAAAGCUCAGAACGAAUCGGCGGAAGAGGAGCAAGAGUUUUCCGAGGUGUUUAUGAAGAGCCUGACAUACACGAAUCGAUUUGGCAAACUGAAGAAUAAAGAGACAAUCACAG
Harpegnathos saltator (Jerdon's jumping ant) is the source of this 1971-nucleotide RNA transcript. It is a transcript of the gene named Transcriptional adapter 2A, with no coding region annotated. NCBI's taxonomy places the organism in Eukaryota, Metazoa, Arthropoda, Insecta, Hymenoptera, Formicidae. The transcript is spliced from 4 exons. The record is from RefSeq and is a predicted model, not a curated record.